Molecule: ribosomal RNA, 465 nt
Filed under: uncultured bacterium
Lineage: Bacteria
Description: partial 16S ribosomal RNA
Rfam family: Bacterial small subunit ribosomal RNA
Source: RNAcentral
CCUACGGGAGGCAGCAGUGGGGAAUAUUGCGCAAUGGGCGAAAGCCUGACGCAGCGACGCCGCGUGAGGGAUGAAGGUCUUCGGAUCGUAAACCUCUGUCAGCAGGGAAGAACGGUCACUGUGCUAAUCAGCAGUGAAUUGACGGUACCUGCAAAGGAAGCACCGGCUAACUCCGUGCCAGCAGCCGCGGGAAUACGGAGGGUGCGAGCGUUAAUCGGAAUUACUGGGCGUAAAGCGCUCGUAGGCGGUAUGUCAAGUCAAGGGUGAAAUCCCCGCGCUCAACGUGGGAACUGCCUUUGAAACUGGCAAACUGGAGUGUGUGAGAGGAUAGUGGAAUGCCAGGUGUAGGAGUGAAAUGCGUAGAUAUCUGGAGGAACAUCAGUGGCGAAGGCGACUAUCUGGCACAUAACUGACGCUGAGGAGCGAAAGCGUGGGUAGCAAACAGGAUUAGAUACCCGUGUAGUC